GGGUCUGGCAGUCGGAUGCCGGAUCAAAGGCGCAAGUCGCUCUGGGAGGGGCCCGCGGCCGAUUAGCUAGUUGGUGGGGUAAGGGCCUACCAAGGCUGAGAUCGGUAGCUGGUCUGAGAGGAUGAUCAGCCACAUUGGCACUGAGACACGGGCCAAACUCCUACGGGAGGCAGCAGUAAGGAAUAUUGCACAAUGGGGGAAACCCUGAUGCAGCAACGCCGCGUGGGUGAUGAAGGCCUUCGGGUCGUAAAGCCCUGUCAGGUGGGAAGAAACUCGUGGAUGCUAAUAUCAUCCACGCUUGACGGUACCACCGGAGGAAGCACCGGCUAACUCCGUGCCAGCAGCCGCGGUAAUACGGAGGAUGCAAGCGUUAUCCGGAUUUAUUGGGUUUAAAGGGUGCGUAGGCGGUCGGGUAAGUCAGAUGUGAAAGCCUUCUGCUUAACAGAAGAAGUGCAUUUGAAACUGCCCGGCUAGAGUACGGGAGAGGAGAGUGGAAUUCCCGGUGUAGAGGUGAAAUUCGUAGAUAUCGGGAGGAACACCAGUGGCGAAAGCGGCU
This 556-nucleotide ribosomal RNA is filed under the name uncultured bacterium. Its description in RNAcentral is "bacterial SSU rRNA". It matches the Rfam family "Bacterial small subunit ribosomal RNA", at positions 173 to 726 of the family's 1533-position model. The record is from RNAcentral.